CCUUGUACACACCGCCCGUCACACCACGAAAGUUAACUGCACCAGAAGUCGCCGUGCUAACCGUAAGGAGGCAAGCGCCCAAGGUUUGGUUGAUGAUUGGGGUG
This 104-nucleotide ribosomal RNA is filed under the name uncultured bacterium. RNAcentral's name for it is "partial 16S ribosomal RNA". It matches the Rfam family "Bacterial small subunit ribosomal RNA", at positions 1379 to 1482 of the family's 1533-position model. The record is from RNAcentral.